RNAcentral lists this ribosomal RNA (448 nucleotides) under Vibrio sp. M16-C18. Its description in RNAcentral is "bacterial SSU rRNA". It matches the Rfam family "Bacterial small subunit ribosomal RNA", at positions 1 to 449 of the family's 1533-position model. The record is from RNAcentral. Lineage: Bacteria; Pseudomonadati; Pseudomonadota; Gammaproteobacteria; Vibrionales; Vibrionaceae.
UUGAGYUUGAUCAUGGCUCAGAUUGAACGCUGGCGGCAGGCCUAACACAUGCAAGUCGAGCGGUAACAGGAAGRAAGCUUGCUUUCUUUGCUGACGAGCGGCGGACGGGUGAGUAAUGCCUGGGAAAUUGCCCUGAUGUGGGGGAUAACCAUUGGAAACGAUGGCUAAUACCGCAUGAUGCCUUCGGCUCAAAGAGGGGGACCUUCGGGCCUCUCGCGUCAGGAUAUGCCCAGGUGGGAUUAGCUAGUUGGUGAGGUAAUGGCUCACCAAGGCGACGAUCCCUAGCUGGUCUGAGAGGAUGAUCAGCCACACUGGAACUGAGACACGGUCCAGACUCCUACGGGAGGCAGCAGUGGGGAAUAUUGCACAAUGGGCGCAAGCCUGAUGCAGCCAUGCCGCGUGUAUGAAGAAGGCCUUCGGGUUGUAAAGUACUUUCAUGUGGUGAGGA